GAGUUUGAUCAUGGCUCAGGAUGAACGCUGGCGGCGUGCCUAACACAUGCAAGUCGAGCGAAGCGAUCGAGAUGAAGUUUUCGGAUGGAUUCCUGAUUGACUGAGCGGCGGACGGGUGAGUAACGCGUGGGUAACCUGCCUCAUACAGGGGGAUAACAGUUAGAAAUGACUGCUAAUACCGCAUAAGCGCACAGUACCACAUGGUACGGUGUGAAAAACUCCGGUGGUAUGAGAUGGACCCGCGUCUGAUUAGCUGGUUGGUGGGGUAACGGCCCACCAAGGCGACGAUCAGUAGCCGACCUGAGA
RNAcentral lists this ribosomal RNA (306 nucleotides) under uncultured bacterium. RNAcentral's name for it is "bacterial SSU rRNA". It matches the Rfam family "Bacterial small subunit ribosomal RNA", at positions 9 to 297 of the family's 1533-position model. The record is from RNAcentral.